Molecule: long non-coding RNA, 1565 nt
Organism: Anser brachyrhynchus (Pink-footed goose)
Lineage: Eukaryota; Metazoa; Chordata; Aves; Anseriformes; Anatidae
Source: Ensembl
GGACACGGAGCGGGGUAGGAAAACACAGGUAAUGAAUAAUUGGCUGAGAGGCUGGUGUCGAGACAGGAACUUUGGGUUCUUUGACCAUGUGGCAGUUUACUCGACCCCUGGCCUGUUGUCGAUGGAUGGAACUCACCUGUCUCAAAAGGGGAAAUGACUCCUAGUGCAGGAGCUAGCAGGACUUGUGGAGAGAACUUUAAACUAGUUAUGACGGGGGAAAGGGAUAAAACAGGGCUCACAAGAGAAGUGCCUAGGGGAACAGUGCUGAAGCUGGGGGUGAGGCAGAUGUCUCAUCUGAAGUGCAUCUACACCAAAGCAUGCAGCAUGGGCAACAAACAAGAGGAGCUGGAAGCGAUUGUGCGACAGGCUAACUACGACCUAGUUGCUAUAACUGAAAUAUGGUGGGAUCACUCCCACGAUUGGAGUACUGUGAUGGACGGCUACAAGCUCUUCAGAAGGGAUAGACAAGGAAGGAAGGGUGGUGGUGGGGCUCUUUAUAUUAAAGAGUGUUUUGAUGUUGAAGAGCUUGUGGUUGGGAAUGAUAAAGUUGAGUGUCUAUGGAUAAGGAUCAGGGGGAAGGCCUGUAGGGGUGACAUCUUGGUGGGGGUCUGUUAUAGACCGCCUAAUCAGGAUGAAGAGAUGGAUGAGACAUUCUAUGAGCAGCUCGCAAAAGUUACACAAUUGCCAGCACUCGUUCUCAUGGGAGACUUCAACUUCCCUGAUAUAUGCUGGAAGUACAAUACUGCACAGAGGAACCAGUCCAGGAGGUUUCUAGAGUGUGUGGAAGAUAGCUUCCUGACACAGCUGGUUCAAGAGCCUACCAGGGGAGGUGCCCCACUGGACCUGCUCUUCACUGAUGGAGAAGGACUGGUGGAAGAUGUGAAAGCUGUGGACUGUCUUGGACAGAGUGACCAUAAGAUUGUGGAGUUUUCUAUUCCUGGUGAUGUCAGAAGGGUAACUAGCAAAACUACUACCUUCCAGAGGGCGGACUUUGACCUAUUCAGGACACUUGUUGCAGGGGUCCCUUGGGAGUCACUCCUGAAGGGCAAAGGGGUCCAGGAAGCCUGGAUGCUUCUCAAGACAGAAAUCUUAAAGGCACAGGAGCAGGCUGUUCCUGAGUCCCAUAAGGCGUGCCGGAGGGGAAGAAGACAGGCAUGGAUGAACCGGGAACUUUUGUUGAGACUGCGGCAGAAAAAGAGACUCUACGUCCUCUAGAAGAAGGGACAGGCUAUUUGGGGUGACUACAAGGAAGUGGCUAAGAUAUGCAGAGAGGAAGUUAGAAAGGCAAAAGCCCAGCUUGAACUCAGAUUGGCCACUGCAGUAAAAGAGAACAAGAAAUCCUUUUACAAAUAUAUUAAUAGCAAGAGAAGAACCAAGGAAAAUUUCCAUCCUUUACUUGAUGCAGCAGGAAAAGUGAUCACUGAAGAAAAGGAUAAGGCUGAGGUUCUCAAUACCUUCUUUACAUCUGUCUUUAAUAGUCGGAUCAGUAAUCCUCAGGGUACUUUAUGCCCUGACCUGGGCGUCCCCUGUGAUUCAGGUAUAGAAUCAUCCCUGUGAUCCAGGAA